This 779-nucleotide ribosomal RNA is filed under the name Vibrio alginolyticus. RNAcentral's name for it is "bacterial LSU rRNA". It matches the Rfam family "Bacterial large subunit ribosomal RNA", at positions 1 to 824 of the family's 2925-position model. The record is from RNAcentral. Lineage: Bacteria; Pseudomonadati; Pseudomonadota; Gammaproteobacteria; Vibrionales; Vibrionaceae.
GUUGUAUGGUUAAGUGACUAAGCGUACACGGUGGAUGCCUUGGCAGUCAGAGGCGAUGAAGGACGUAUUAACUUGCGAUAAGCGUAGAUUAGGCAGUAAAAGCCACUUGAGUCUACGAUUUCCGAAUGGGGAAACCCACUAGCAUAAGCUAGUAUCGCUGCGUGAAUACAUAGCGCAGCGAGGCGAACUCGGGGAACUGAAACAUCUAAGUACCCGAAGGAAAAGAAAUCAACUGAGAUUCCGAAAGUAGCGGCGAGCGAAAUUGGACUAGCCCUUAAGCUUUAAAUGAUGCAGGUGAACACGCUGGAAAGCGUGGCAAUAAAGGGUGAUAGCCCCGUAACCGACACAUCAUUCUAAGUGAAAACGAGUAAGGCGGGACACGUGAUAUCCUGUUUGAAUAUGGGGGGACCAUCCUCCAAGGCUAAAUACUACUGACUGACCGAUAGUGAACCAGUACCGUGAGGGAAAGGCGAAAAGAACCCCUGUGAGGGGAGUGAAAUAGAACCUGAAACCGUGUACGUACAAGCAGUAGGAGCAAGGCAAUGCCUUGUGACUGCGUACCUUUUGUAUAAUGGGUCAGCGACUUAUAUUCAGUGGCAAGGUUAACCGUAUAGGGGAGCCGUAGGGAAACCGAGUCUUAACUGGGCGCUUCAGUCUCUGGAUAUAGACCCGAAACCGAGUGAUCUAGCCAUGGGCAGGUUGAAGAUUGAGUAACAUCAAUUGGAGGACCGAACCGACUAAUGUUGAAAAAUUAGCGGAUGACUUGUGGCUAGGGGUGA